AUUGAACGCUGGCGGCAGGCCUAACACAUGCAAGUCGAACGAGUGGCGGACGGGUGAGUAAUGUCUGGGAAACUGCCUGAUGGAGGGGGAUAACUACUGGAAACGGUAGUUAAUACCGCAUACCAUCAGAUGUGCCCAGAUUGGAGUGGCUAGUUUGUGUGGUAACGGCUCACCAAGGCGACGAUCCCUAGAUGGUCUGAGAGGAUGACCAGCCACACUGGAACUGUGACACGGUCCAGACGCCUACGGUAGGCAGCAGUGGGGAAUAUUGCACAAUGGGCGCAAGCCUGAUGCAGCCAUGCCGUGUGUAUGAAGAAGGCCUUCGGGUUGUAAAGUACUUUCCGCGGGGAGGCGUUACCCGCAGAAGAAGCACCGGCUAACUCCGUGCCAGCCGCCGCGGUAAUAC
This 406-nucleotide ribosomal RNA is filed under the name uncultured bacterium. RNAcentral describes it as "partial 16S ribosomal RNA". It matches the Rfam family "Bacterial small subunit ribosomal RNA", at positions 30 to 526 of the family's 1533-position model. The record is from RNAcentral.